Loxodonta africana (African savanna elephant) is the source of this 10077-nucleotide RNA transcript. It is a transcript of the gene named Fas ligand, with no coding region annotated. The record is from RefSeq and is a predicted model, not a curated record. The transcript is spliced from 6 exons. NCBI's taxonomy places the organism in Eukaryota, Metazoa, Chordata, Mammalia, Proboscidea, Elephantidae.
GGUAAACAGUAUUUGGGUUAGGGGAAGGGAUGGCAGCUCAUGCAAAAGGUAAGAUGUGGAAGUGGUUCCUCUGGCCACAACUCAAUGGUCUCUCCCCUCAGUGCUUGAAAGUGCCCCGCUGGCCAACCUCUCUGCAGUUAGGCAGCAGGUUAUGCCCCCCAGGCUGGCCCCUGAUUCUUACCUGCUCCAGCAGGUCUGAGAAAGAGGAGCCUAACCUACCAGCCUUUUCAGGUAGCAAAGCAACAGCAACUGGGACUUUGAAUGCUUUCGUCAGAAAAUUGUGGGUAGAAGCUUACAGCGGUUUACCCUGAGCUCCUUGAGGCUUUCAACUUCAGGCGCAAAUUGCUCCGAGCUCCUUGAGGCUUCUCAGCUUCAGACAUAAAGUGAGUGGGUGUUUCUCUGAGAAACAGAAAGAGAUCGAGAGAAGUGUUUCCCUUAGCUGUGGAAACUCUAUAAAGAGAGCUCCGGCUUCCCUUUUCUUGAGCACUUAGCAACAGGAGUCCCCUCCUCUGACACCUCAGCCUACACAGGAUCAAGAAGAAGUAAAAUUCUUUGCCUGGAGGGUGCCCCGAGUUCCUGGCUGCCAUGUGGCAGCCACUGAAUUACCCAUAUCCCCAAAUCUACUGGGUGGACAGCAGCUCCAGCUCUCCUUUGGCCCCUCCAGGGUCUGCUCUCCCCUGCCCUUCCUCUGUGCCUGGAAGGCCCGGCCAAAUGAGGCCACCACCACCCCCACCGCCACCGCUGCCACCACGGCCACCACUGCCUCCAUUCCCACCAUCACUUCUGAAGAAGAGACGGAAUCCCAACACAGGCCUAUAUCUCCUCGUAAUGUUUUUCAUGGUUCUGGUGGCCCUGGUUGGACUGGGGCUGGGGUUGUUCCAGCUCUUCCACCUGCAGAAGGAGCUGGCUGAACUCAGAGAGUCCACCCGCCUAAGCCCUGUAGCAUCAUCUCUGGAGAAGCAAAUAGGUCAGCCCAGUCUACCUUCUGAAAAAAGGGAGGUGAAGAAAGUGGCCCAUUUAACAGGAAAUCCCAACUCAAGGUCCAUCCCUCUGGAAUGGGAAGACACCUAUGGAAUUGCCUUGGUCUCUGGAGUGAAGUAUAAGAAGGGUGGCCUUGUGAUCAAUGACACUGGACUGUACUUUGUGUAUUCUAAAGUGUAUUUUCGGGGCCACUCCUGCAACAACCAGCCCCUGAACCACAAGGUCUACAUGAGGAACUCUAAAUAUCCCCAGGAUCUGGUGCUGAUGGAGGAAAGGAUGAUGAACUACUGCACUACUGGCCAGAUGUGGGCACGCAGCAGCUAUCUGGGAGCAGUGUUCAAUCUCACAAUUGCUGAUAAUUUAUAUGUCAAUGUAUCUGAGCUUUCUCUGGUCAAUUUUGAGGAAUCUAAGACAUUUUUCGGCUUAUAUAAGCUCUAAGAAAAGCACUUUGGAAUACUCUCCAUUAUGGUUCCUUGUUAUGGGCACUGAAAAUGCUGUCUUGAAUGAGGGUCUUCAUAAGCCCACUUGAAGUGAAGUGAGAAGGCAUGAACCAAGAGAACCUUAAGACCACAAAGUCCAGCAGUUUGUGGUUCAUACAAGGUCCAUGAUCCAGGUAGGAGGAGGAAUAUGACUGAGGAACAUAAAAUUCUGGGCUGCCAGGUGAAGAAGAAGAGACAGUGAAAAGCAGCUACCAGACUUGUUUGACACUCAAGUGACUAAGAACAUUUUGACACAUUGAAAAGGACACUUUUUAACUCACCUCUUGGGGUGGGUCUACUCACUACCUCAAGGAAAGCUGUCUUUAAGAUAUGUGGAGGUGACAUGAUUGUAUGAGGGAUGGAAAAAGAGGAGUAGGCUUGCAUGAUAAGCUAAAGAGACUGAAAAAACCAAUGCACCAUUGGCGGUAUCUUUACUUCUAAAUGCAUAGCCUGAGAUACCUGAUGAAGCUAAUGGAGAAUCGAGAGAGAGCUUUUGGGACACAGUCCGGUCCAUACACAAUGGUCAAGUUUCCGACCACGCACCUCAUGUGUAGAAAGUCAGACAAGUAUUCACACCUCCGUCUUGUUGCUGGGUUUUGGAACAUCCAGAGGCAGAACUGAGGCGAUCCUGGGAGAACUGAAUCAGAACCUCAAAACUUUAGGGUCUUCAGGUUCAGAAAUAAAUCCUACUUAGAAAUGACAUAGCCAUUAGUGGUAGCCAAGGGCCUUUAGGAUUCACCUGGAAACCAACCACCUUUGGAAAUGCAGACAGUUAAAUGGGUGUUGUACUCCUUACAGUUCAUCUAGAAGGUGGGGAAACACCAAGUCAGUGAUGAUUUUCUCACUUUUGCCAAAGCUCCCCCUGCACUUGGAGAUGUUUGUUCACAGUUCCAGAUGGUGCAUUUUCAGGGACAAGGGCAAUGCAGAUGUCCUCCACCCAGAAGGUUCUUCAUCUCUGUGUGGUCACCUGUUCUUCUAUUUCUCAAAUAGAAUGGCACAAGCCUCAAUCUCACAUUCUGUGGGAAGUGCAGACUUCUCUCCAAAACUGAUGGAAUUUUCAAGAGAGAUGCUUAUUCUUUUGGACCAUCUACACUAUAGCAGGUUGCUUAGCUCUCACCUGGAGUCAGACAGUGGAUGUUCUCUCCUUGGGCUCCUGAUAAAGUACCUUUAUAAUAAAGUACCUUUAUUUCCCUCAGGGCACCACCUCCACAAAUUGCUGUGUGUGGACAAAUUUUACUGAAAGUUUGGGAGUAAUGGAGAGAGAUUACCUUAUGGCACACACAGUAUAAGCUACAACUAAAAUUUAGUAUUAGACAUUACCACCAUCCUAAAAAUCUGCCACAAUUAUCUCCUCAAGUAUAUCACCCAAAAUUCUAGUAUUUGGAAGAAGCAUUGCACUUUUAUUCAUUCAUUCAUUCUUUAAACUAGUGUUUAUUGAAUGUCUACCAUGUACCAGAAACUGCCCUAGGCACUAUGGAUAUAUUGAUAAAUAAAGUCCCUCAUGGAGCUUACAUUUUAGUGGGGGGGAUGGUAAAUAUACAAUAAAAAAAAGUAAAUAAAUAAAAAGUCUUGUAGUAAGUGCUAGGAAAAAAAUUAACCAAGAUAAGGGGGUAGAGAUGAUGGAGGAGGGGUGGUUGUUUGAUAAGUGGUGAGGCAACAAGCCACAUGGGCAUCUAAGAUGGAACACGCCAAGCAGAUGAAUCGCAAGUGCGAAGCCCUAAGACAAAACAUCAUUUGGUCUAUCUGAGGCCAGUGUACCUGAGUGCAGUGAGCAAGAGGGAAACUGGUAGGAAAAGAAAUUGGAGAGAUAGCCAGGGGCCAGAUCAGGUAGGACCUUGAAGGUCUUGGAAAGGAAUGUGGAUUUUAUUCUAAAUGUUAAGGAAAGUCAUUGGAGGGUUGAGAGCAGAGUGACGGGAUCUAAUUUAUAACGUAAAGGAUCACUCUGGUUGUUUAUGGAGAACAGACUGUUGUGGAUCAAGACUCUGAAUUGGAAAACCAGUAAGAUGAGAGGUGGUGGAGGCUUGAACCAGGGUGUUGAUAAUGAAGGGGUGGAGAAGUCUCUUUGAUGCUAGCAUUAACCAGAUUUGCUGAUGAAUUUAAUGUGGUGUGGGUUGUAAGAGAAAAGACAAUUCUAGCGUAUUUGGUCUGAGCAACUGGGUGGAUGGUGGGGUAAUUUUCAGUAUUAGGAUUUUGCCGCUGUCACGUAGGAGGCACAGUCUGUGAUGGAGACAGAGAACUCUGUUUCCUGCUACAUGCCCUUGGGUUUGUACCAAGCAAAGGCUAGCUCAUCACUUGAUAGUCAGAGGCACAGAGGCCAGGAGCUUUUGCGUUCUGCUUGAGUCCUGUUCAUGGGCAUGAUUUCUUUAUAGUAUCCCUAUGAAGAAACAAAAACAGCGUGUAUUAAGAUUGCCACAUAUAAACCUAAAAUUGCCCCAUUUGCCAGAAAUUAUUCAUCAUAGAUCUUGGAUUAUUUAGAAAUAAUGAAAAGUAGCCUCCCUCCUAAUGCAGAAAUCCCCCUUUCCACAUUUCCAACAGGUGUUGUGUUUGGAAACUUCCUGGGCAGGGGCUCACUGAAUUCUGCACCGGGCUGUUUUACAUUUUGUAAAGUUCUUUCUUAGAUUUAACUGAAAUCCUCUGUGCCAUUACUUCCAUACAUUGGCCCCAGUUCUUUUCUCUGAACAGGUAGAAUACAACUACCACCUCAACAUAACUAAACUGGACCCGUUGCCAUCGAGUCAAUUCCAACUCAUGGCGAUCCCAUGUGCUUCAGAGUAGAGCUGUGCUCUACAGGGUUGUAAUAUUAUGGAAGUAGAUCAUCGGGCCUUUCUUUCAUGGUACCCUGGGUGGAUUCGAACUGCCAACCACUUGGUUAGUAGCUAAGAACAAAUCAUUUGCACCACCCAGGCACUUUACCACUUCAAUAUAACAAAUCCUAAAGUAUUUGAAUAGUGUUAAUGUGUGGUCCGAGUCUUUUUUUUUUACCCAUUUUAAAACAACUCCUAUUAUCCGAACUGCUGCUUAACACUCCUAUAGUACCUUAUAGCUUGUGAAGCUCUCUUAGGUACCUUGUUUAAUUUUCACUACAACCCUGUAAAAAAGGUUGUUAUCCCCAUAUUACAUAUGAAAAGAAGUAAAACACAAAAAGAUUAUGAGAUUUACUCUAGGUGACAUGGCCAGUGGCAGAGCUAGGACUUAACCUUGGGGCUUAAAACUCUAAAUCUAUGUUCUUUCCAUAUAAAAAGCCUUCUCAGAACUACAUCCUAUAUGAUGGCACUCAUCAUGAGCCUCAGCCCGGUAAUUUUUGGUGACACCAUUUAUAUUACUUUCAUCCUUUGCAUUUCAAUUUCAAAUUCACUUUGCCUAAUACGUAUCUUCUGUACUAUAUAAUAUAAAUUUAUAUUUAUUUGUAUAAAUAUUUAAUGUCAUGGCUUGCAGAUAGAUGUCAUAAGGUUUUAGAGUUGACAGUUGCUCUUAGAUGGUCUUCUUUAGCUGCUUCCUGAGAGUUAUGGGUUACUUUCUCUACUAUGUUCUACUCGAAAUACCCAUAUUGCCUCUCUGCCACCAAAAACAUCCUGGUUUUAGUUGGUGGGAUGAAGGGCUUGGACUCAGAAGGUCUGGGUUGAGUCCUGCCUCUGCUGUUUCACCUGUUAAGUCAUUUGCACAAACUCCUUGAGACUCAGCUGUCUCCUCUGUAAAACACAGAUGCCAAAUUCCCACUCUUACAACUUUAUAGGUAUGCUGUUCAUGCCAGAUGGGAUGAAGCCCCUUUUGUGACUUGGAAAGGCACUCCUGAAGGUCACCAGGCCUUUCUCCCAUGGUUCAAACCACUAACCUUUAGGUUAGUAGUUGAGUUCAAAAUGUUUGCCUUAUGAGGGAUCAUUCUCCUGAAGGUAGGUGGGUGGAAUUGUUAAUAUUCCCCAACAACUGUCCUGAUAAAACUAUUGGUAAAAAAAUUCUUACUUGCCGUUAUCGUGUUUCCACAAAAUUGAUCAUCCAUCAUCCUACCAUACAUAAAAUCCCAUCAAACAGGAAUAAUAGGUAAAUUCAUCCCCUGAGAUAUAAACAUAAAAGAAUAACAUCCUACAUCUGCAUAGCCUUUAAAACAUUCUCUUACAUGCCUCUUGCUUUUACUGCUUUUUUAAAAUAUGAAGUAACACUCAUGAAAGCUGCUGGCAUGUGUCAGAUUCUCCGUAAAUGUUUGUUGAAUGCAUUAAAUAUAUUCUGUGCUCUUUAUAUUCACAGCGUAGUGAGAUUAGCCUUUUUGAUGACUUUUUUUUUUUUAAAUACUGAAAUACAACUAAAUAAGGUGAUAAUUAUAAGUUUGACUAGGGAUACUUAACAUUUUAACUCAUUCUCAUAUGUCAGGACAUGUAACUAAAACCAUUCACUUAGCCCAGGGUCAUUUCAGAAAAUGUGAGACGCUAAGGGAAACCCCUUCCUCUAGCACUGCUCACCACAGAAGAGAGAGAGGUUGUUGGUUCUUCUGUUGUAGCCCUGGCUUUCAGUGGGUGAACCACUUGAAAGACAAUGUGAAUUGAAGUAAGAGACAUCCUUGGUGUUAUCAAGUUUUUAAACUGUCUGCACUUGUAGACCCUACACAAGACAAGUACCUUCGCAAAGGAGAUUAGAGAAAUGGAUAGGCAUCUACGGGUGUCUCAGAUGUUUCUCUGGGCAAGGAUUCUUUUAGUCUCGCUUGGUUUAGGGCUCAAUUUUCUCACACACUUCACCCUAAUACCAUUCUUGCUCCACUUCUAGUCUGUAGAAGGAAACUUAGUACGCAUUUUCUGGAAGAGAAGACACUAGAUGUUGCUUCUGAUUGGAAGAGAAUGUAGCUGGAAGAUUCCGGAAGCUACAAAGAAGCUUGUCUGUGGCCUAAAAUCAACUAGUUAAGAUUCUAGACCUUCACAACAGAGAUUAAAGAUUGCAGAGGAAGAGACUGGGGAUUCCGGUAACAUGAAAUGUGUUUUAUUCUCCUCACCCCAUGUCUUCAUUGAGAAGAGAGAGAGAACACCCUUGACCCAGAUGAUGAGAAAGAGACACAGAGGUGUCAAACAGAACUCUAAAGUGUGAGCUACAAGGAAAGGUUUGUUUCAAACCUCAGCAUCCUCUUUGCAUCAUUCGGGUAGGCUUGUGUCUCGGCUUUUAAGAAACUCUGGAAACCUCUACUGGAGUCUGGGAGGGGUGACAAAGAGCAGAAAGCCGUGCGGGGGCUGAGAUGGUUCAUACUUCUUUUAGAGCUCUCUUCUAGGUUUCCCAAGGUCAACCAACUGGCUCUUCAUAACUUCCCAGAAGAACAUGAACAGAACAUGAACAGACUGCUUCUGUCCUAGAAAGGCAGUGGGAGUCAGCCAGCAGGGGAGGAGGUCGGGGGCUGGAUUCACUUUGAAAAGGAAGAUAAAUGUAAGGCACAUUUUCUCUGCUCUACAGUCAAGCCCACAUUUUCAUAUGACUCACAAAGUUGGUAAGGAUAUCAACUUUUCAUUUAAAAAAUAAUGUGAGACAUCACAGGACUUAUAAAUAGUGGUAAAUAGUUGCAAUUUAUUGACUGUCUUUGUGUAGAAAUAAUGCAAAACACUCAACAGUUAUGUUUAUUAACCCUCACAACAACCUCAUAACGCAAAAAUAUAUCCUUCGCUAUCAAGUCGAUUCAGACUCACAGUGACCCUAAAGGACAGAGUAGAACUACCCCCUAGGGCUUCCACGGAGCAGCUGGUAGAUCUGAACUGCUGACUUUCAGUUAGCAGUCAUAGUUCUUAACCACUGUGCCACAGGCCACCAGUCACUGUGAAAGCCAAACACACUCCCCAUACAUUUCUAGACACCUCUCUAUAGAGUGGCUCCCUCCACUAUGCCCCUUGUUGAAAACCACUAUGCAAGAGCAAUGGCUUGGCAUGUAGCAAGAACAGAAUGAAGGGCUGUGUGGCUGGAGUCAGGGGCUGUCAAGAGAUGAUGCUGGAGAGGUAGAGCUGUGCAAGCUAAGAUUACAUUUUUAGUCCCAAGGGAAGCUGUUGAUAGAGUAGAAGGGAAAUUGAAGAGAAAUGGAAAAACUUGAUAUAUAUUUCGGUAGUAGACUUGUCACAUCCAUGGAUUGGAUGUUGGGUACAUGGGAAAGUAAUAAAUCAAAGAUUACAUGAAGUAUUUUUUACUGUUUCCUUCACAGUACCUGCCAUAAUUAUUCCCUACAUUUUUUUUCUCUUUGUUUAUCUUUCUGAUUAGAUCGUGGUCUACUUUUAUUCCGGUGCUUAAUAAAAAUGUGUUGAAUGAAUGCUUGAACAGUAUUCAUUCCUUCUCUUUCUUUAGGAUUGACCUCAUUUUUGUUUAAUGGCUGUGUGGAUAGACCAUCCUAUAUUGAGUCAUUUCUGUACCAAUGGGCAUUUAGGUUUUUCCCAAAUUUUUGCUUUUUCAAAAAAUGCUGCAAUGACUAUUUAUAUGUAUGUCUUUGUACAUUUCUGCUAGUAUUUCUCUAGAAUAGAACAGUAAAAUUUGAAGGGUUAGAGAUAAUCUAUACAUUUUAAUUUUCUAUGGGUGUUAUUAAACUGCUCUCUAAAAAGUACCAAUUUACUCUCUCACACUGUGUAAAAGGGCCUUUUCUCUCACUGCAAGCACCGCUCAAGGUGGUAAUUUAAAAGGUUUUUUACAGUAACAGUCAAAAAAUGGUAUCUCAUAAUUUGCAUUUUAAAAAAGCAUUUGAGAGGUUGAAACUUCUCAUUUUUGGUUUUAUUUCUUGCCAGUUGUAUUUCUUCUCCAGUGAAUUGCCUAUUAUAAUUUACCACGUCCUUAUUAAGCUUUUGUCUUUUUAUUACUGGUUGACAGCUGCUCCCCAUAUUGUAUGAAUAUGACGGUCUGUUACAUGCAUUUCAAAUGUUUCCUUCUAAUGCGUCAUCUGCUAAUUUUUUCCAUGCUCCAGGGUUUACUUUUUUAAAACAAAUCUGUUGUUUCCUUUAUAGAUUUUUGUCACACUUAGACUUCUCACACCCUAAGAUUACAGAUAGAUAGAUUCUUCUCUAUUUUCUUCUAAUGUAAAGUUUUCAUUGUAAAUGAAAACUUUUCUAGUUCUAUAAUCUAUUUUAAAUCUAUUUUUAUACACCAUGAGGUCGGUAGUAAACUUAAUUUUUUCACAAUGGGUAGCCGAUAACCUAAGCAACACCAUCUUUUGAUUUCUCAUUCAUUUGAAGUGCCAGCACUGUCUGAGACUAAGCUUCCCUUUGUGCCUGGGUUUGGUUCUGCUGGAUUCUCUCUUCUGUCCCUUUGAUGUCUUUAGCUAUUUCUAGAUUAAUGACUCACCGUAUUAAUUACUUCAUCUUUGUGACUGUGUGCUUCAAAGUUUCCUUGAAAAUUUUUGCGUAUGUACUCCUGUUACAGACUUUAUCAUCAACUUGUUGGAUGCCCCUCACUUACUUCCUUGUCAAAUCCUAUUGAAUUUUUUAUUAGAGUUGCAUGGAAUUUGUUGUAACAGUUUGGGAAGAACUCGACUGCUUUACACUAUGAAGUCUACCUUUCUAGGAAAAUAUGGUAUUACUCAGUAUUACCAUAUUCUGAGUUCUACUCUGUUUUAUAAGGUCUCUAUGAGUUGGAAUAAACUUGACAACAAUGGGUUUAGUUUUUUGGGUUUUUUAAUACGCAAAUUUUAAUUCUGAAGAAGAUAAAAAUACGAAAAAAUAAAAAUCUCUGUUCUCAAAGGUGCUUUUAAUCUAAUGGUGAAAAGAAAUAUAUACACAGAUAACUCAAAGGAAUGAACAAAGAGGGGAAGUUGGUGAUGUUUCUACUGUCCACUGAUUUAUGUUCAGGAACAAAGUCAUGGAAUCAUCAUGGGUUACUUACUGUCUUUCCCCCUUUGAUGUUAUCCUGUGUGGCUCCUAAGGCCUAGUGAAGUGUCCUUCUCUGAUUUUUUCAUAGUUUUAUUUUCUUUAACAGACACCUUUUCUUCAGUUGGAGCCCUGGUGGCAAAGUGGUUAAGAGUUCAGCUGCUGAACAAAAGACCUUCAGGCAGUUCGAACCCACCAACCACUCCUUGGAAACCCUAUGGGGCAUAUCUACUCUGUGCUGUAGGGUCACUAUGACUCAAAAUCGACUCAGUGACAACUGGCUUUCUUCAGUUAAAGCAUUCGGCUGCUAACUGAAGGGUUGGUGGUUUUAAUCCACCCAGAGACACAUUAGAAGAAACACCUGUAGAUCUACUUCCGAAAGAUCAACCAUUGAAAACCGUAUGAAGCACAAUUCCACUCUGUCACACAUGGGGUCGCCAUGAGUCAGAAUCAACUCAAAAGCAUCUAGUUGGUUCCCUUCUCUAACUCUACUUGGCCUUUUCCUAAAAUUGUUCAAGUGAUUUUCUUUCUAACUUCAACCUACACUAUACAAUUUUUUAGUAUGGAAAAUGCAUAUAUUUUUAUUUGUUUAUUUUUCUCUCUUUUUUUCUUGUACUUUAAAUUGAGGUUUACAGAACUAAUUUCUCAUUAAACAGUACACAUAUUGUUCUAUGACAUUGGUUAACAACCUCACGACAUGUCAUCACUCUCCCUUCUCGACAUUGGGUUCCGUAUUACCAGCUUUCCUGUUCCCUCCUGCCAUCUAGGCCUUGCCCCAGAGCUGGUGUGCCCCCUUAGUCUCGGGUUUUUUU